Molecule: ribosomal RNA, 465 nt
Filed under: uncultured bacterium
Lineage: Bacteria
Description: partial 16S ribosomal RNA
Rfam family: Bacterial small subunit ribosomal RNA
Source: RNAcentral
GACGAACGCUGGCGGCGUGCUUAACACAUGCAAGUCGAACGGAAAGGCCCCUUUGGGGGUACUCGAGUGGCGAACGGGUGAGUAACACGUGAGUAACCUGCCCUUGACUUCGGGAUAACUUCAGGAAACUGGGGCUAAUACCGGAUAGGAAUCCUUGCUGCAUGGUGGGGGUUGGAAAGCUUCGGCGGUUUUGGAUGGACUCGCGGCUUAUCAGCUUGUUGGUGGGGUAGUGGCUUACCAAGGCUUUGACGGGUAGCCGGCCUGAGAGGGCGACCGGCCACAUUGGGACUGAGAUACGGCCCAGACUCCUACGGGAGGCAGCAGUGGGGAAUAUUGCACAAUGGGCGGAAGCCUGAUGCAGCAACGCCGCGUGCGGGAUGACGGCCUUCGGGUUGUAAACCGCUUUCAGCAGGGGCGAAGCUUGUGGUGACGGUACCUGCAGAAGAAUCACCGGCUAACUACGUG